GGGCAUGUGGUGUAGUUGGUUAUCACGCUCGCUUAGCAUCCUUGGGAGCCUGCGAGAGGGGUCCGGUUCAAUCCCGGACAUGUCCA
RNAcentral lists this transfer RNA (86 nucleotides) under Pilatotrama ljubarskyi. RNAcentral describes it as "tRNA-Ala". It matches the Rfam family "tRNA". Rfam says of the family: Transfer RNA (tRNA) molecules are approximately 80 nucleotides in length. The record is from RNAcentral. Lineage: Eukaryota; Fungi; Basidiomycota; Agaricomycetes; Polyporales; Polyporaceae.